CGCGUAGGCGGCUUGCCAAGUCCGGGGUGAAAGCCUCCAGCUUAACUGGAGAAGUGCCUUGGAUACUGGCGAGCUCGAGCGAGGUAGGGGCGGGUGGAACUUCCGGUGGAGCGGUGAAAUGCGUUGAUAUCGGAAGGAACGCCGGUGGCGAAAGCGACCCGCUGGACCUCUUCUGACGCUGAGGCGCGAAAGCUAGGGUAGCGAACG
This 207-nucleotide ribosomal RNA is filed under the name uncultured bacterium. RNAcentral describes it as "partial 16S ribosomal RNA". It matches the Rfam family "Bacterial small subunit ribosomal RNA", at positions 568 to 774 of the family's 1533-position model. The record is from RNAcentral.